This 253-nucleotide ribosomal RNA is filed under the name uncultured bacterium. RNAcentral's name for it is "partial 16S ribosomal RNA". It matches the Rfam family "Bacterial small subunit ribosomal RNA", at positions 524 to 776 of the family's 1533-position model. The record is from RNAcentral.
UACGGAGGGGGCUAGCGUUGUUCGGAAUUACUGGGCGUAAAGCGCACGUAGGCGGCUUUGUAAGUUAGAGGUGAAAGCCCGGGGCUCAACUCCGGAACUGCCUUUAAGACUGCAUCGCUUGAAUCAUGGAGAGGUUAGUGGAAUUCCGAGUGUAGAGGUGAAAUUCGUAGAUAUCGAGAGGAACACCUGCGGCGAAGGCGACUUACUGGACACAUAUUGACGCUGAGGUGCGAAAGCGUGGGGAGCAAACAGG